GGCUAUAUAACAGCAUUUUUUGAAGAAAAGUAUUUUUCAUCUCAAGCUUCCAGGUGCAGUUGAAGAUUGUGAAAAGGCAACAUUUUCUUACCAGAACUAUAAAGAUUACAUGAAUGAAAUGUGCAAAGAAGAAAGAUAUCCUGAUCAAGAGGGAAUCCAGCAAUGUAUCGGUGAGAAAUUUGCAGCAGCUCAAGUGGAUCUAGAAUCGGCACUUACUGAAAUGAAAAACAACUGUUUGUGAAGACCUUCAACGGAUCACGUCACAUCUGAUGAAGACCAGUAUCUAUAUAUUACCUAUAAUAUAAUAAUCUGAAUCUGUCGUGGUUUCCUUCUUUUUGGGAUAUGUUUAACUCUCAAAUAUCUUUAUCUAGAAAAUAAAAUUUUCAUAAAGCAA
This is a long non-coding RNA of Limulus polyphemus (Atlantic horseshoe crab), 394 nucleotides long. RefSeq lists it as uncharacterized. The transcript is spliced from 4 exons. Lineage: Eukaryota; Metazoa; Arthropoda; Merostomata; Xiphosura; Limulidae. The record is from RefSeq and is a predicted model, not a curated record.